CUAACAACACACAACAUUCCAGGAAUGUACUACCAAAGUUCUAUCAAUAUUUGAAUGUCCUGGACAUUUAGGGAACAUUCGGUGAACAUCUGUUUAAAUUAUUCCUGGAAUGUUACCAUAAGACAUUCUGUGAACAUACUACCAAUGUUCCUAUAUUUUAAGUUGCGAAAUAAUACGUGUAACAGAUACAACAUUGCUUAUAACAUACCAGACAAACUAAGUGACACUUUAGGCCUACAGUGCAAUAAUAUGUCAAAUUUAAAGAGUUUUCCAAGUUCAAUUAAUACAAUAUUAUAAACAUACAAAUGUAAUAAAAAUUAUUGUUCGCGAAUAUUCAAUUUGGAAUGCGAUUUUGUUAAUAAAAAAAAUACUUAUAACUUAUGCAAAACCCAAGAGAGGCAUUUAUAUUUAUUUCUUUUGCGUUCAUUUUCAAAUUCGCCGUGCAUAUAUUUUUGUGCAUGGCGCUUGAGAGGGCAUCACGUGACUAAAAACGACCAACCAACGACCUCGCUUCGGCCAUCUUGGCAUCUUCAUCUUGCCACCUUUGUUUGUAUUAUUUGUGCUUUUUAAGAAUAUUUUUUUAAUUCGGAUACUUUUAUAAUAGCUUUAAUAGUAUUAUUAACAUAGUGAAUAAAAUGGUGUCCUGUUUUUAACGCAGUUGGAGUAGCAGAAACAAAUGUAGAUAAAAAAAUCUGCAGGAAUAACGUUUCAAUUAUGACAGAAGCUCCAAACAAAUGACUGAAUGAAAAUGAAAAGCCCUAUUAAAAGCUUUCCAGAAGAUCCUGCUAAGAAGACAUGAAGUAUAGAUCAGAUUUGUUAAUAGAGGAGUAUGUUCAAAACACUUUUUAGAAAAAGAUAUUGACAGAAUUUCACUUUCAUCUGUUCGUUUAAGAGACUGUGCUGUUCCAAUAGCUUAUGUCACACAGAAUCAGCUGAGAGAAGUGGUCUACAAAAAACCAGAAAGGAAACGGAAUAUGUGGCUACGAAAAGCAAAAGAAAGGUUUACAAAGCAAAUGUGACACAUUUUUUUAUAAUAUUUAGGAAUGUCAGUAAAUUACAUUAAAAAAUGUAUGUAAAGAUUUUUUG
RNAcentral lists this long non-coding RNA (1086 nucleotides) under Diabrotica virgifera virgifera (western corn rootworm). RNAcentral describes it as "uncharacterized LOC126886489". Lineage: Eukaryota; Metazoa; Arthropoda; Insecta; Coleoptera; Chrysomelidae. The record is from RNAcentral.